AGUGAACGCUGGCGGUAGGCCUAACACAUGCAAGUCGAACGGCAGCACAGUAAGAGCUUGCUCUUACGGGUGGCGAGUGGCGGACGGGUGAGGAAUACAUCGGAAUCUACUUUUUCGUGGGGGAUAACGUAGGGAAACUUACGCUAAUACCGCAUACGACCUACGGGUGAAAGCAGGGGAUCUUCGGACCUUGCGCGAUUGGAUGAGCCGUUGUCGGGUUAGCUAGUUGGCGGGGUAAAGGCCCACCAAGGCGACGAUCCGUAGCUGGUCUGAGAGGAUGAUCAGCCACACUGGAACUGAGACACGGUCCAGACUCCUACGGGAGGCAGCAGUGGGGAAUAUUGGACAAUGGGCGCAAGCCUGAUCCAGCCAUACCGCGUGGGUGAAGAAGGCCUUCGGGUUGUAAAGCCCUUUUGUUGGGAAAGAAAAGCAGCGGGUUAAUACCCCGCUGUUCUGACGGUACCCAAAGAAUAAGCACCGGCUAACUUCGUG
RNAcentral lists this ribosomal RNA (492 nucleotides) under uncultured bacterium. Its description in RNAcentral is "partial 16S ribosomal RNA". It matches the Rfam family "Bacterial small subunit ribosomal RNA", at positions 29 to 507 of the family's 1533-position model. The record is from RNAcentral.